UGCCCGAGCGAAGCGUUCCGAGGCCGUCGGGGUCUCCGCGCCUUCAGGAGGGCGGGAGUGCCAGUCCCCUUACAUAGCAGCAGUAGACAGUAAGGUCACACGAGGACCUGGCUCCGUGUUGCCGUGAGGCUUGCAGCCUUCGAAGCUGGCCCUGGCCCCGCAGCGGUAGGGCUUGUUCCCGCAGUUUAUUAGGUCUCUAGUUAAUCCAGGCAUUGCCUUCCUGUUCUGGUCAGUAGGAAAACAACACCCCGACAACGCUCUGUCUCUAGAAUUUCCUAAAAUCAACAGCUUUACCACCAACCGGCAGAUGUCCGGAGGUGGAGUGGAAAUGUACCUAUUUAUCUAUAGGGCCCCAAACCUCUCUCCCUGUUAGAGCUGUUUUUUCCUUCUAUAUAUUUUUUUCCACUUUACAUUUCCCACAGUUACGUACUCUAACUGCUGGCUGGCUUAUUGUUACGUUUCCCAUUCCAGGUAUACAUGCACUGUAAGAUAAAUACGUUAAAUGAUAUAAAUUAUGAAAUUUUUCUUUCAAUAAAUGUAGACUUUGAUGUAAAAAUGCAUGAAUCAGAAUAAGCAAGCAAAAAAAGGUCACUUUAGGUAAGAUCAGAUAAGGUUAACUGUGUAAUUUAUGUGCAUGCUGGAACAAAAUACAGCUAUUGUAUGAAAACAAUAUUGCCCAUUUUCCUGCCAUACCAAAAGAAACUACAUAAAAACGGAGGCACAAAGAAAUUUUGAAGCUUUGUGAUUUUGCUUCUAGUUUGCUGUUCUUUCCUCCUUUUCACAGAUAAUUGCUGAAAAUCUAGAGGGGGUGGACGGAUUGCAGAAAUCUGGCUAUUUAAAAGGUGGAGAAAUUACGAUUUCUCCUUUCAUGAAUUCUUUGGCAAGG
This 886-nucleotide long non-coding RNA is filed under the name Homo sapiens (human). RNAcentral's name for it is "HSALNT0081735". The record is from RNAcentral. Lineage: Eukaryota; Metazoa; Chordata; Mammalia; Primates; Hominidae.